CUUCCUCAUAGCAGCUAGAGUCAUUUUUGGAAACAUUAAAUAUGUCCAGAAAAAUGUCCAAUUAUUCAUACAAUGAAAAGCCAUUUCAAUAUCCAUUAAGGAAUACAUGAUUUAAACCAUUGAGGCUCAGGCUGAGGUUUACAUUGUUCUUUGCAAAGAAGAGGAAGCUUUUCAAGGUUUUCAGUCCUUCUUCCACAUUUUGCCUAACAAACAGCAACAUAGUGAUCUGGCAAGAAAACACAAGUGCAAGUCACUAUUCUUAUUUAACACAUCAUUUAACAAUUUACAUUGAUUAAUAUGUAUG
Molecule: non-coding RNA, 304 nt
Organism: Pelobates cultripes (western spadefoot toad)
Lineage: Eukaryota; Metazoa; Chordata; Amphibia; Anura; Pelobatidae
Source: the annotation of a GenBank genome assembly